Molecule: ribosomal RNA, 233 nt
Filed under: uncultured Staphylococcus sp.
Lineage: Bacteria; Bacillati; Bacillota; Bacilli; Caryophanales; Staphylococcaceae
Description: partial 16S ribosomal RNA
Rfam family: Bacterial small subunit ribosomal RNA
Source: RNAcentral
UGAGUAACACGUGGAUAACCUACCUAUAAGACUGGGAUAACUUCGGGAAACCGGAGCUAAUACCGGAUAAUAUAUUGAACCGCAUGGUUCAAUAGUGAAAGACGGUUUUGCUGUCACUUAUAGAUGGAUCCGCGCCGCAUUAGCUAGUUGGUAAGGUAACGGCUUACCAAGGCGACGAUGCGUAGCCGACCUGAGAGGGUGAUCGGCCACACUGGAACUGAGACACGGUCCAG